Molecule: ribosomal RNA, 492 nt
Filed under: uncultured bacterium
Lineage: Bacteria
Description: partial 16S ribosomal RNA
Rfam family: Bacterial small subunit ribosomal RNA
Source: RNAcentral
AUUGAACGCUGGCGGCAUGCUUUACACAUGCAAGUCGAACGGUAACAGGCCUUCGGGUGCUGACGAGUGGCGAACGGGUGAGUAAUGCAUCGGAACGUGCCCAGAGGUGGGGGAUAACGCAGCGAAAGCUGUGCUAAUACCGCAUGUGAUCUGAGGAUGAAAGCGGGGGACCAGGCAGCAAUGUUUGGCCUCGCGCCUUUGGAGCGGCCGAUGUCAGAUUAGGUAGUUGGUGGGGUAAAGGCCUACCAAGCCGACGAUCUGUAGCUGGUCUGAGAGGACGACCAGCCACACUGGGACUGAGACACGGCCCAGACUCCUACGGGAGGCAGCAGUGGGGAAUUUUGGACAAUGGGGGCAAGCCUGAUCCAGCAAUGCCGCGUGCGGGAAGAAGGCCUUCGGGUUGUAAACCGCUUUUGUACGGAGCGAACAGGCUCUGGCUAAUACCUGGGGCUGAUGACGGUACCGUAAGAAUAAGCACCGGCUAACUACGUG